CGCUAAACGCUUCAGAUUUUAACGGUUGAGGAUUGUGAGUUUAAAAAUGAUCCAAAGAAACAAGCUUUCUUGGCUCACUGCUCAAAUCAGCUAAGUGUAUCACUCAAGAAAAUCCGAGGAGAAGCAAGUCCAAUUAGAAAUGCUCUCAUGACCGAGAAAUUAAACAGGAGCUCACUGUGGUUAGCUGUCAGAUUUCAGAGGUGAGUAAUGGAACCGCGGAGAGGGAAACAUCCCAGAAAAGAGAGAGAGAGCGAGACGUUGCCAUGACCAGCCAAUAAACCGUGAGCUGACGUUCAAAUGAAGACAUUUGGUUUAGUGCUGCGGUGAAGGCCUGGUGGCUGCUGACGUGUGUGUGUUGCUCUGAAUGUGCGUGUUUAGCAUUUAUACACUCCAGAACGAGUGAAAGUUGAAUGCUCUGCUGUUUCCACUGAUCCUGGAUCAGAUUGGUAUUAUGUGUCUGUAUUAUAUCUAGUUUAUUUAACAAUACAACAAUCAGUUUAAUUAGAGAUUCUCAUGAAAGCAUAUAAGAGCAGAGGACAGCAAGCCAAAUAACACACACACACACACAGACACACUGUUUCCACAGAAUCAAACUCUUCUACAUCUUGGCCUGAGGGUGAGCACAUUGCCAGCAAAUUUUCAUUUCUGAGUUUUAAUAGAGAUAUCCAUUUUGUUUUAUCGAAGUAUCGACUGCUUAAAAUAGAACAUAACCAGUCACAGAUGAGUCAGUUACGGUCAUACAGUAAGAAUACAUGUAUCCACUUUAUUUUUCAUUGGGGAAGUUUCCCAAAGAAAGAAUUUGUCCUUUUCAUUUUGAACCUUGCUAGUUUAGAUCAGUUCCUGGUAGAAGUUUCUGUGAAUGUGGGACAUAUUCACUUCAUUAGCUGUGGUAGGGAAAUAACCAGAAGAAUGACAAAGAGCAGUUAAAAAAAAACAUAAUUAGGACACUGCAUUAUAAAACAAUAGCAGAUGAGACCGGAAGUCAAGACACGUUAAAUUUACAAAUGGCUGCGCCUGCAUAAAAUUCAGAUGGAAAGCAACUUUUUUUGUGAAUGAAUUUGAAUAAAUGAGUGUAAAUAUGGUCUUGGUAUCGGUUUUUUUUUUUAGUUUAUUUUUUUUUCAGUUAUCAUGACGUGCCUGAACCUGCAAAUUACUUCUGAAGUUCAUGUUGCGUCACUCAUAUAUUUGUGGUUUUUCACUUCCUUACUUGAUAAACAUUGUUGAGUUGUUUAUAGAGUUUAAGGGGACUUUUACAAUACAUCUCAUGG
This is a long non-coding RNA of Carassius auratus (goldfish), 1268 nucleotides long. RefSeq lists it as uncharacterized. The transcript has 3 exons. The record is from RefSeq and is a predicted model, not a curated record. NCBI's taxonomy places the organism in Eukaryota, Metazoa, Chordata, Actinopteri, Cypriniformes, Cyprinidae.